This 217-nucleotide ribosomal RNA is filed under the name uncultured bacterium. RNAcentral describes it as "partial 16S ribosomal RNA". It matches the Rfam family "Bacterial small subunit ribosomal RNA", at positions 132 to 334 of the family's 1533-position model. The record is from RNAcentral.
UUUAUACGGGACGAACAUUCCAAGGGAAUGCUAAUACCGGAUGUGACGCUCCUAUCGCAUGACGGGAGCGUGAAAGAUGGCCUCUACAUGUAAGCUAUCGCUAAAGGAUGGGCCUGCGUCUGAUUAGCUAGUUGGUAGUGUAACGGACAACCAAGGCGAUGAUCAGUAGCCGGUCUGAGAGGAUGAACGGCCACAUUGGGACUGAGACACGGCCCAG